UACGGGGGGGGCAAGCGUUGUUCGGAAUUACUGGGCGUAAAGGGCUCGUAGGCGGCCAACUAAGUCGGAUGUGAAAUCCCCAGGCUUAACCUGGGAACUGCAUCCGAUACUGGAUGGCUUGAAUCCGGGAGAGGGAUGCAGAAUUCCAGGUGUAGCGGUGAAAUGCGUAGAUAUCUGGAGGAACACCUGCGGUGUAGACGGCUUUCUGGACCAUUGUUGACGCUGAGACACGAAAGCGUGGGUAGCAAACAGG
RNAcentral lists this ribosomal RNA (253 nucleotides) under uncultured bacterium. RNAcentral describes it as "partial 16S ribosomal RNA". It matches the Rfam family "Bacterial small subunit ribosomal RNA", at positions 524 to 776 of the family's 1533-position model. The record is from RNAcentral.